RNAcentral lists this transfer RNA (72 nucleotides) under Loxodonta africana (African savanna elephant). It matches the Rfam family "tRNA". Rfam says of the family: Transfer RNA (tRNA) molecules are approximately 80 nucleotides in length. The record is from Rfam by way of RNAcentral. Lineage: Eukaryota; Metazoa; Chordata; Mammalia; Proboscidea; Elephantidae.
GCUCUGGUGGCACAAUGGUUAAGCACUCGGCUGCUAACUGAAAGGUCAGUGGUUCAAACCCACCCGGCAGCU